GAGGGACUUGGAGGGAGGCAGUGGUCUAGUGGUUAACAUUACAUAAGAAACUAGUCCAGUCUAUCUCACUAAAAAUUACUUGUUUUAAAAAGGGCUAUUGCAUAAUUUAGUAAGGAAGCAUACAGACACCUUUUAACCAUUGUGCUCAUUAGAGAUGUGAUCAAAUAAAGAUGCAGAUUAAUUUUGCUACUAUUACAAAAAAUGUAAAAUUGGAUAAGUGGUAUUUUAGAUCUAGAUGUCGUUGGGUAAGAAUUAGGUGUUGGUAUCGUAGUAAAGUCUAUUAAUGACGGAUUUACAGUAUGUGGAAUAACUUGUGCUCUCAAGAUGCACGUAAAAAUGUAAGUGUGAUGUACAGGCAGGCGUCUCCAUGUAUCCCUACAAUGAGAUCCUCCCAGUAUCUUCUGCUAAAUCACGUUGAAGCCACGUUUCAUCACAGUUGGAUAAGCGGUUCUCCAGACGUGUGGGGGGGAAAUAUGAAGCGUGACACACGCAAGUGCGACCACCUCCAUUAUACGAACCGCACCCGCAAUGAUGCUGCAGCUCAGGUACUCUGCUGAGGUAGGUUCCUGAUUUGUGAUGUUACCGUUUUGAACUGAUUUUGCAGUUGAAUGGAGUUACCUUGGAUAUGGUGUGUGUGCGUUUUUUUUUGUUUUUUUUCUGAUAUGGAGAAUACAGCACAGCAAAAAAAAUUAAAUGGUAUGGUUGACAUUAAUGGUUGAAAGAUCCUCAGCAUUAUAUAAUAAAGAAUGUUGAAUGAUGAAAUUAUGCUUUAGACAUUGAUUCACUGGAUACGGGUUUACACUUCUAUGAGCCUGCAUUUUGUGUUGAGUUCUACUGGUGGUUAACAAUAUGCUUUAUUUUUACAGCUGGUUUCAAAGACCCCGGUUAUUCCUACUCUUGGACUUUAUUUCAUUGUAUUUGGAUCAAGAUAACACUGCAUCUCUGUCUCCACCUCUCCCAGCUCAGUGACAGCACAGCCUGUUCUCUCUGUCACUCCAGGAUUUUUUUUUUUGUACUGGCCUGUUUCAAUGGCCAGGCUGUGGUCACAGUCUGUACUUGGUUAGAGUUUGUCUUUGAGUCUUUUACCCUGACAAGGUAUUCUGCCAGGGUAAAGUUUCUCAAAUGUUGGUCAAAUAUACAUAUACACACACAUACAUACAUUUAUUUUUGUUUUACUUCUUUAGUUAUAUCUGUGGUGUAUAGACGGUAUACUUUUAUUCAAUUUAAGAUUUUAGAGCAGAUGAUGUCUAACCUUAACCCUCUUUGUAAAUAUAUUUAGGAAUUUCUUUAUCCACAAAACUGAUUUAUAUCCACUUAAUGAAGUUCAAUUAAUUUUGUUGAAGGGGGGAAAAAAAGGUUUUAAAAAUAUGAUUUUCCAAAGAGAUCCCGUUUUAAGGAUACCGGUAUUUUGUUGUUUUUAAAAAAUAAAUAAAUAAAUAAAGCAAGCAAGCUGAGCGAACACAACGAGAGCCGUAGUUGUGCGUAUGGUACAGCUGUAUUCUUUUACUAUAUUUUUGUAAAAGUUUAGAAUUUAUUUUCCGCAGUUAUUGUCUUAUAGUAAUAUAAUAACGGUAAAGGAUGAGAAAUUUGGUAUAAUUUUGUGUUUUUGAGUGCGAGUUAAUUGUACCUGCGGUUUAUGUCCAUUUACUUCAAAUAGUUAGAAAUUAGAAAGGCCAAGAGAGAUCAUGCAACAGUCUCUUGACACGGGUUGUACCGACAGACUGGAGAAUUGCAAACGUAAUACCGAUCCACAAAAAGGGAGACAAAACCAAACCAGGGUAACACAGACCAAUAAGCCUGACUUCUAUUAAAUGUAAACUUAUGAAAACUAUAAUAAAAUCCAAAAUGGAAAAUUAAUUAUAUGGUAACAGUAUCCUGGGAGACCGUCGGCAUGGUUUUAGGAAAGGGAGAUCUUGUCUAACUAAUCUGCUUAAUUUUUUUUUUAAGAUACAACAUCGAUAAUGGAUAACUGCACAGCAUAUGAUGUGGUUUAUUUUGAUUUCCAGAAAGCUUUUGACCAAAGUCCUGCAUAAAAGAUUAAUUCUCAAACUCAACGCAGUAGGGAUUCAAGGAAAUGAAUGCACAUGGAUUAGGGAGUGGUUAACAUGUAGAAAACAAAGUACUGAUUUAAAGGAGAAACCUCAAAAUGGAGCGAGGUAACCAUUUGUGUACCACAGGGAUCCGUAUUCGGUCCUCUGCUAUUCCUAAUUGACAUUAAUGACUUCAAUUCUGGUAUAGUAAGCAAACUUAUUAAAUUUGCAGAUGACACAACAAUAGGAGGAGUGGCAAACACCAUUGCAGCAGCAAAGAUCAUUCAAAAUGAUCUACAGCAUUCAGAACUGGGCAGACACAUGGCAAAUGACACUUAAUAGAGAAAAGUGUAAGGUACUGCAUGCAGGCAAUAAAAAUGUGCAUUAUAAAUAUCAUACGGGAGAUACUGAAAUUGAAGAAGGAAUCUGAAAAAGACCUAGAAGUUUAUGUUGACUCCGUAAUGUCUUCAUCUAGACAAUGUAUGUAGCUAUAAAAAAGGCUAACAAGAUGCUCGGAUAUAUUGUGAAACGUGUUGAAUUUAAAUCAAGGGAAGUAAUGUUAAAACUUUACAAUGCAUUAGUAAGACCUCAUCUAGAAUAUUGUGUUCAGUUCUGGUCACCUUGCUACAAAAAAUGAUAUUGCUGCUCUAGAAAGAGUGCAAAGAAGAGUGAUCAGAAUUAUCCUGGGUUUAAAAGACAUGUCAUAUGCAGGCAGGCUAAAACAGUUGAAUCUAUUCAAUCUUGAACAAAGAAGACUACGCAGUGAUCUGAUUCGCGUAUUCAAAAUUCUAAAAGGUAUUGACAAUAUCGACCCAAGGGACUUUUUCGACCUGAAAAAAGAAACGAGGACCAGGGGUCACCAAUGGAGAUUAGAUAAAGGGGCAUUCAGGACAGAAAAUUGGAGGCACUUUUUUACACAUAGAAUUGUGAGAGUCUGGAACCAACUCCCCAGUAAUGUUGAAGCUGACACCCUGGGAUCCUUCAAGAAGCUGCUUGAUGAGAUUCUGCUUGAUGGGCCGAAUGGCCUCCUCGUUUGUAAACUUUCUUAUGUUCUUAAAUUCAGGCAUACACUUUCAUUUCUGAUGCACGAUUCCAGAUCUUCCUGAACAGUUCUAUCUGCCCACAGGGAAACUAAAGCCUGCACUUCCUUAACGUCCCAAGGCUGUUCUUUUCUCUCGUCAUACUCUCUGCCUGCCAUGUUGUUUGUCUUUCUGAAGUGUACUGACUACUACAAUGUAAUGACGAAAAUCCGUGGUGGCUGGAUUCCCUGCCCAGGACAUUGCUGUAGCAUAGCUGUCCUGCUAGAGUUGUGUGGGCCCCUGGCACAAUUUGUGCUGUCUGGCAGAGCUGCUCUGGAUGGUGUUUCUGUGGGUGGGGGCUUUAUAUGGCCUUGUUGGUUGGGUGCUCCUCCGUAUUCAGGGGCGGCUGGGGGAGCUUCUGGUAUUGGGAUGGGGGCUGGGUCUCGGUCCAGGGUGGUGUCUUUUGAGGGUUUUGGUGAAGACCAUCAUACCCUCCUAGUUGAGGUGCACCUGGUCGUACAGGUGCUGGAGCUGGAUGGUGUGGUGGUGUGCCAGGUGAACGUUGGGCAGCAGGGCGCAGCCCCGGGAUACCUCUGUGUUGAUGAGCUGGAUGGUGCGCUGGGCCACGUCUGCUCUGAGUAGCAGGGUGGAUGUGACGAUCUUCGAGGAGGGGAAUUCUCCUGUUUGCUUUUUUCUGGGAUUUGGCCACAUCCCCUCUCUGGGAGCUGAGGUCGUUGGGUCCUGUGUGUAUGCCUUAUUCUCAGGAUAUCUGUUACACUUGCACUUUCUGGGUCACCACAACAGUGUCUUCUGGGUCAUGUUAGUGGCUCCUCAGUUUGUGCUCAGAAAGCAGGUGCAGGGCCUGAUAUUGCUGAUUCUUUUGCCUGGAAACAGCCUGCCUAUCUGGCAUAUGUGUUUCAAACUCUCCUGUGUUUUUUUCUUUCUUUAGCUUUUAAUUGCCUUUUAUUUAAUUGUUGCUCAUUUCAGAGGUUCUGUUUGUACGGAUUUGUGUUGAAACUUAAAUUGUACCUUAUGACUGUAAAUACGAAAAUCCUAAUGGUUUAGCUCAUUUUCUCUCUCUCUCUCUCUCUCUCAAUAAAAUAUUUACAUGCACAAAGUACAACAUAAAUACAAAAGUAUUUAGGUCGUUUUGGACAUGAGUCCUUCAGCUAAAAUGCCAUAAUCCAAUGAGGGGCUUGUUUUUAAGAAAUAAUUUCAAAUAAGGCCAAGUGGGGCUAAGAAACAAACAGAUUUUCUUCCAAUUAAGGUCAGGGUAGCUUGUAAUGUACAGCACUGUAGGAUGACAUAUGCACUAGUCACGUGCGUCUCGUUAUGUAAACACUGUACUACAUUAGAAUGGUGUUUUGUUUUGAAAAAAUAAGAAAACCUACAACUGCAAGACCGCCUAGCGGUUGUAGUUUGGCAAAUCCAAAGAUAGCUAGUAAAAGUGCAGCGAGUUUGAGGGAGAUGACCAUUACCAGGGGUCACCAAUGGAGAUUAGAUAAAGGGGCAUUCAGGACAGAAAAUUGGAGGCACUUUUUUACACAUAGAAUUGUGAGAGUCUGGAACCAACUCCCCAGUAAUGUUGAAGCUGACACCCUGGGAUCCUUCAAGAAGCUGCUUGAUGAGAUUCUGCUUGAUGGGCCGAAUGGCCUCCUCGUUUGUAAACUUUCUUAUGUUCUUAAAUUCAGGCAUACACUUUCAUUUCUGAUGCACGAUUCCAGAUCUUCCUGAACAGUUCUAUCUGCCCACAGGGAAACUAAAGCCUGCACUUCCUUAACGUCCCAAGGCUGUUCUUUUCUCUCGUCAUACUCUCUGCCUGCCAUGUUGUUUGUCUUUCUGAAGUGUACUGACUACUACAAUGUAAUGACGAAAAUCCGUGGUGGCUGGAUUCCCUGCCCAGGACAUUGCUGUAGCAUAGCUGUCCUGCUAGAGUUGUGUGGGCCCCUGGCACAAUUUGUGCUGUCUGGCAGAGCUGCUCUGGAUGGUGUUUCUGUGGGUGGGGGCUUUAUAUGGCCUUGUUGGUUGGGUGCUCCUCCGUAUUCAGGGGCGGCUGGGGGAGCUUCUGGUAUUGGGAUGGGGGCUGGGUCUCGGUCCAGGGUGGUGUCUUUUGAGGGUUUUGGUGAAGACCAUCAUACCCUCCUAGUUGAGGUGCACCUGGUCGUACAGGUGCUGGAGCUGGAUGGUGUGGUGGUGUGCCAGGUGAACGUUGGGCAGCAGGGCGCAGCCCCGGGAUACCUCUGUGUUGAUGAGCUGGAUGGUGCGCUGGGCCACGUCUGCUCUGAGUAGCAGGGUGGAUGUGACGAUCUUCGAGGAGGGGAAUUCUCCUGUUUGCUUUUUUCUGGGAUUUGGCCACAUCCCCUCUCUGGGAGCUGAGGUCGUUGGGUCCUGUGUGUAUGCCUUAUUCUCAGGAUAUCUGUUACACUUGCACUUUCUGGGUCACCACAACAGUGUCUUCUGGGUCAUGUUAGUGGCUCCUCAGUUUGUGCUCAGAAAGCAGGUGCAGGGCCUGAUAUUGCUGAUUCUUUUGCCUGGAAACAGCCUGCCUAUCUGGCAUAUGUGUUUCAAACUCUCCUGUGUUUUUUUCUUUCUUUAGCUUUUAAUUGCCUUUUAUUUAAUUGUUGCUCAUUUCAGAGGUUCUGUUUGUACGGAUUUGUGUUGAAACUUAAAUUGUACCUUAUGACUGUAAAUACGAAAAUCCUAAUGGUUUAGCUCAUUUUCUCUCUCUCUCUCUCUCUCUCAAUAAAAUAUUUACAUGCACAAAGUACAACAUAAAUACAAAAGUAUUUAGGUCGUUUUGGACAUGAGUCCUUCAGCUAAAAUGCCAUAAUCCAAUGAGGGGCUUGUUUUUAAGAAAUAAUUUCAAAUAAGGCCAAGUGGGGCUAAGAAACAAACAGAUUUUCUUCCAAUUAAGGUCAGGGUAGCUUGUAAUGUACAGCACUGUAGGAUGACAUAUGCACUAGUCACGUGCGUCUCGUUAUGUAAACACUGUACUACAUUAGAAUGGUGUUUUGUUUUGAAAAAAUAAGAAAACCUACAACUGCAAGACCGCCUAGCGGUUGUAGUUUGGCAAAUCCAAAGAUAGCUAGUAAAAGUGCAGCGAGUUUGAGGGAGAUGACCAUUACCAGUUCACCGUGCCUUACGCGUACUUGAAGAGCGGCCAACACCGGGACGAGGCCGUGUUCGAGUUAUUCUUCCGUGAAAAUCCCUUCGGAGGCGAGUUUUCGCUCUUUUCAGGACUCGCAGAUUGCUUGCUGUUCCUGAAAAACUUCAGGUAUACAGAGCAAGGUAAGGGUAAGCCAAGGGACCGUCUCAAAACUCUCGUGCUGUCGCCACAAUAAUAACAUAAUUCUUAAUUCUCUCUAGCUAGCUUAAAGAAAUCUGUAUGCAAACCUUGCUUUCAGAUAGCUUUGCACUUCCUUGGUCACCCCUGCCAUUAACCAACCAGCUGCUGCUUCCCCUAAUGAUUGACAUGCUGAGGUGAUCCAGGAAGUGCAGGUGUAACAGAUCUCCUGAAGAUAAGGCAUGUAAACUGAUGAAUGUCUUUCGCUUAAUUUAGUGUCAGAUAUCGUGUUUUAAAAUGACAAUACACGUUUGCUAUUUGGGAUUCUUUCAAAACUGCACAUUUGAGACCUGUGUAACUAAUGGAAAUGCAAAGCAGGAGAGAUUUAUGGAGCUGUUCUGUUGGCUACAAUUACUGGAAGGAGGUUGUAUAUUUAAUUGAAUAGCAGUUUAUAAUUCUUCACACAAACCUGAAUCUUAGCCCUUGAGCCAUAUCCAUAAAACGUCAUAAGUUUAUGUAUAAUUUAAAGUUUAGUACUCCAGCAAGUUAGGGGUCUCGCUUAAGUGACCUAGAUAAGCACCCCACUUAACAUUUUAUAACGUAAGUCCUUUUAUGAAUACAGCCCGAAAGACUGAAAAUAAUGAUCAGAUUGUUGCUGUGCUCUACCAGACCCUCUGCUGCCACCUGUCAACCAAGACGGGUACUGCAGCUCAGUUGUUGAGCACGUGAAUUUCUAAACCUGAAAGAAGAAUAUUUAAUAACUACGCUCUUGAAGGGCUUCAUUUAUUCUUAAGGUUUAGGCAUUUUAACAUAAUCUACCUUUAUAAAAGUUUCCCAUAGUAAAAGCACAGCAAACUGUAAUAAAGCACGCAUUGUACAACACAGAGGAGUCUGUUUAAAGCAAAAUGCAAAGCAUAACCGUUGGAAAAGCAACGAAAAACUGCAAAAUCCCCUUGCAAAUGUAACACCCCUGAAAUGGACCCCAUGUACUUUGGCUUGCAGUUUGAGUCAGGGGGACCCAUGACUUUUGUUAAGUUCAGGGUUUAUCUUCUUGGUUGAUAAUGCCAUGUGCACUUUCCUAAUCAUUUCUAAUAAUAUCUGUAUUACAAAAUGCAAAUGAAUUGAGCCACUUCUCUGUUAAUACUGAGAUGUUUUAGUCAGUUUGUUUAUUUAUUUAUUUAUUUAUUUAUUUAUUUAUUUAUUUAUUUAUACAUUCUUUCUUUAUUUUUAAACUAAGGCUGUUGAUUAAAAGUUAUCCCCGUUUGUGUUUAAACUGCCACACACAUUUCCAAUGCUUUAGUAUUUAGUCAUCUUUCUGUUUUACUUUUGCACUUACUUAAAGUUUGCCGUUGAUUUUUUUGCAUUGUGUAUUACCGUGGUUAUUCUUAAAGGGGAGUGGUUUAUUGCAGUAGAUAGCAGCAAAUCAGUGCUGGAGGAGUGCCUCCUCCCUGUCCUGUCAUUGUAAAGCCCUGACCCCAUGCAAAUUCCCUCUCCCCUCCCUGCUGUGACCCUCAGGAGUGGGGUGCUGAAUAUCUGUGCCAGCUGCACUACCAGCCGAUCGGGGUUAGACUGGACAGCGGGGACCUCUGUGGGCAGUCAGUCGAAUAUUCCUGUCCUGCAGCUCCAGGUUUCAGGCGGCCGAGCUGCAGUCUCUGCUGAUUGUCGGGAGCAACAACAUCUCUGAGAAAUCCUUGCUGAAGAUGAAUGGGAGAAUGAGAUUUACGUUGUUGGUGUUGGGACCCAUCUGGUGACCUGCCCAUUGCAGCCUAAGCUGGGCUGUGUUUACAUGGUACCCACACCCCUCUCCAACGGGCACAGCACUCCACGGGAACUAACAGAGAUGUGCAGCAGGGGCGAUGAGUUUAAAUGUUACCACGCUCCAGUUUAGUAUUCAUUAUUCAUGUGUAAAACCCAGAUUAUCCAAAAGGAGAUUUCUUGAUUUGGGAAAUAGAGGAAAAAAGGCAUUAGAGAAUAAUGAUCAUUUAGGUGCUAGUUUAUAGUUUAUUGGUGUUAAACUAAACAGAGUUUCCAUUAUCUAUUGUCUUAUGGACAAUAGAUAAUGGAGCAGGGCAUCUUUUCUAUCUCGCUCUCCCCCUCCCCUGUCCCAGCUUGUUCAUUUGAACGGUGCCCUCUGGAUGAAGCUCACUGAGGACUCUGAGAAGAGUACCCUGCCUGGGAGGAAGGCUGUCUACAGACUGUACAGCCAGGAUGGUCACGCUUUCCUAAAGCUCUGUCUGUCUGUCCAGAGAUGACAUCCAUUCACACAGGGACAGGUACGCCAUAGCUCUGUCUGUCUGUCUGUCCAGAGAGGAGGACAUCCAUUCACACAAGGACAGGUAGCUGUGUUAGAGAAACUCUUCCGCCUACUCAGGGACCUCAAGAACAGUUUGAAGAACUAGCUCUCGCAGUCUGAAACCAGUUGAUACACUGAUGUCACAAUACAUAUUCUGUUUGUGAUGACCCUGAUUGAAACCAGUUGAUACACUGAUGUCACAAUACAUAUUCUAUUUGUGAUGACCCUGAUUGGCUGUCAGUAUGAUGCAUAAUAAGAUCAAAUGAUAAUUUAAUGAUGGACCACUUUGUUAAAACAACAAAUUACAUGAGAUGGGGAGAGUAUGUAUUUACGCCAACUAUAAAACUCAGUUAUUCAUCAUUCAAGAA
Molecule: long non-coding RNA, 8993 nt
Organism: Acipenser ruthenus (sterlet)
Lineage: Eukaryota; Metazoa; Chordata; Actinopteri; Acipenseriformes; Acipenseridae
Exons: 5
Source: RefSeq, a predicted model, not a curated record